This 465-nucleotide ribosomal RNA is filed under the name uncultured bacterium. RNAcentral describes it as "bacterial SSU rRNA". It matches the Rfam family "Bacterial small subunit ribosomal RNA", at positions 338 to 795 of the family's 1533-position model. The record is from RNAcentral.
CCUACGGGUUGCAGCAGUGGGGAAUAUUGGACAAUGGGCGAAAGCCUGAUCCAGCAAUGCCGCGUGUGUGAAGAAGGCCUUUGGGUUGUAAAGCACUUUUAUCAGGAACGAAAUACCACGGGUUAAUACCCUAUGGGGCUGACGGUACCUGAGGAAUAAGCACCGGCUAACUUCGUGCCAGCAGCCGCGGUAAUACGAAGGGUGCAAGCGUUAAUCGGAAUUACUGGGCGUAAAGCGUGCGUAGGCGGUUUGAUAAGUCUGCUGUGAAAGCCCUGGGCUCAGCCUGGGAAUGGCAGUGGAAACUGGCGAGCUAGAGUGUGAUAGAGGAUGGUGGAAUUCCCGGUGUAGCGGUGAAAUGCGUAGAGAUCUGAAGGAAUACCAGUGGCGAAGGCGGCCCCCUGGACAAAGACUGACGCUCAGAUGCGAAAGCGUGGGGAGCAAACAGGAUUAGAUACCCGCGUAGUC